GUGUGCUCUUCCGAUCUACUGAAGCAUCUCAAUAAGUGGAGGAAAAUAAACUAACUAGGAUACUCUUAGUAAGUGCGACCGAAGAGAGUAAAGCUCAAUAAUCUAAACUUUAAAUUUUUAUAAUUUAAAGUCAUGUGAUUUUCUAAACUCAUUGAAAUUUUUAUAAAUUAUGAUUGAAUUCAUAACUAUAAAGAGUUAUAGUCUCGUUAUUUAAAAUUUCAAGCAUGGGAAUUAGAAUUAAAGAGUCGGGUAGCUUGAGAAUGCUGCCUUAAUAUAGGUGGUACACCCCAUCUAAAGCUAAAUAUUGUAAAGAGACCGAUAGCAUACAAGUAGUGUGAACGAAAGAUGAAAAGAACUCCUAAACGGAGAAUUAAAAGCGCCUGAACUUGUCUAGGUUUUCGCAUUUCUUUAAUGCGCCCGUCUUGAAACACGGAUUAGGGAGUUUUACUUAAAUACGAGUCUUUAACUUUUAAAGUAAUUUUUUUAAAAAAGGCGAAAAGAAAUUAACUGGUUUUUUAACAUGGCUAUAGAGUAUUUAAGUCAAAACCCGAAUGGAGGUGAACUAUUCCUGCAAAGAUUGAAGUCAGGGGAAACUCUGAUGGAAGAUCGUUGGCGUUAUUGAUGUGCAAAUCAUUUGCUUUAUGUAGGUAUAGGUGCGAAAGACUCAUCGAACCUCCUAAUAGCUGGUUUCCUCCGAAGUUUCCCUCAGGAUAGCUGUAACAUUUUUAAAUAGUUAAGGAUAGUAGAGAAAUGGGUAGAGGUGUAGUGGAACUACGGUUCUGCAACUUAUUUCCAAACUUCGAACGUUCUUGAUAUAAAAAAUUACCUAAUAGGAAUUUUUUAUUUAAAUAUAUGUUAUAAGUGGGCUCUGACCGGUAAGCGGUCAUGGCGAAAAGGGAUGAACCUAACGUAUAAAUAAGGUGCCUAAAUUUACUAACAAUGAAACCAUUAAAAGAGUCCAUGUAUUUAGACAGCGGGUCGGUGCCCCUAAAAGCAGGUAUCCGUUAAUGAGUGUGUUAAAACUCCCCCGCCGAAUACUCUGGCCUUGAAAAUGAAUGGCGCAUAUAGUAAUACCGAUAUUAUACAUUAAAAUUAUUUCAAAAUUUUAAAAGUAGGGGGAUGUGGAUAUCUUAGAGAAUUUUUAAUUGUAAAAUUGAAUUGAAAGAUAUCUAUUACAGAUCCUAAUUGAAGUAGCGAUUAUCCAGGUUAAUCUCCUGGGGGCUGAUGAGGAGUAGGGUUUCUGGGCAACUUAAACGGACCCAGAGUUAGUCGAUCCUAAUCAAAUUAAAUUUAGAGAAAGGGAAUAUGAAUGAUAUUUCAUAACUAAAAUUAAUUUUUAAAUGGUGACAUUUUUUUAAACUUAUUUCCAUCAAUUAAAUACUGUUUAAUAGGGAUUUCUUUCCUAUAUAACUUUUUAAUUAAAACUUAAGAAACAGGUUAACUGGAGAAUAAAGUUUUAAUUUAGUAAAAUUAUAAUUUCGAUUAUAAUAACGGCUAUUUAAAUGAUCCAUGAAACGAUAAGUUUAUUUUUUCAAAAAUUAAUUUAAUCGUACCGAUAACCGCAUCAGGUCUCCAAGGUGAGUAGCUUCUGGCCAUUGAGUAAUGGUAAUUUAGGGAAUUCGGCCAAUUAGAGCUGUAACUUCGGGAUAAAGCUUGGCUCUGAUGGAAAUCAGAACCGAUAGUUACAAGGAGAGCCCAACUGUUUAAUAAAAACUUAGUGUCGCGUCAUACCUUUAUAAGUAAUAAACGUGACAUGAAUCCUGCUCAGUGCUGUGUUUGUUAAACUGGAUUAAUCCAUUUAAGCGCCGGUAAAUAGCUGGGGUAACUAUGACUCUUAUCAAAGUAGCGAAAUACCUCGUCACUUAAUUAGUGACCUGCAUGAACGGAGCUAUGAGGUUCUCACUGUCCCAAAUUAUCACUCAGCGAACCAACAGUUGUGGGAACGGGCACAAAUUAUCCAGCGGGGAAAGAAGACCCUGUAGAGCUUCACUUUGGUCUAAUCUUGUAUAGUUUCGUUAGGGGUGCAGUCUAGGUGGGAGAUUUUUAAUCAAAUAUGAGAAACCACUACCCUUUCUGGAAUUAUACUUACUAAAAUUCUUUUCUAAAUUUUAGGAUCGGAUUAGAUAGAAAGUUUGGCUGGGGCGGCACACCUUCGAAAAAGCAGCGAAGGUGUCCUAAGUUAAGCUCAGUAAGGACAGAAAUCUUACGUUGAGGAUAAGGCCAAAAGCUUAAUUUACUGUGCCUUUUUGUACUAGGAUCAGUUUGGAAACAAAGGCCUAACGAUCCCUAAUUAGUCUUAGGUGUGUAAGACUUGGGGUGACAGACAAGUUACCUCCGGGACAACUGGCUUGUGGCUGCUAAGAGAUCAAAUCAACGCAGCUUUUUGAUUCUUCGAU
RNAcentral lists this ribosomal RNA (2396 nucleotides) under human gut metagenome. RNAcentral describes it as "eukaryotic LSU rRNA". It matches the Rfam family "Eukaryotic large subunit ribosomal RNA", at positions 1 to 2882 of the family's 3401-position model. The record is from RNAcentral.